RNA transcript from Myxocyprinus asiaticus (Chinese sucker), 5788 nucleotides. It is a transcript of the gene named leucine-rich repeat-containing protein 52-like, with no coding region annotated. The transcript has 3 exons. The record is from RefSeq and is a predicted model, not a curated record. Lineage: Eukaryota; Metazoa; Chordata; Actinopteri; Cypriniformes; Catostomidae.
ACAAGAACAUUACGAUGGUGCGCUUCAGGACUGAGUCUUGUAUAUGAAGUGCGUUUAAAUACGGAAUCAAAUUUAUGGACGUGAGAGACAAUUAAUUUAAUUUAACUACGCAAACAGCAAACGGAAAAAACAAACUAUUUUCUGGACCCCUAAAAUAACACUGCAAAGAAGAUGGACACGGAACGAGCUGAUGGGGAUCUUCACAGAAAGUGAUUUACGCAAAGGACUUAAAGCGAGAUUAAGACGCGUGUGGAAGAGGCUCCAAACAACAGCAUCGACUAGGUAACAUUUCAGCGGUCCUGACCGGCAAUAACGACCGAACCGGAUCACACAGAUCAAUGAAGAAUGCGCGAGUGCACACACAGUUGAUGAAGCCGGCGGCGGUAUCAUGCGUGUUUUGCCCGAGCCGAGCGCGCAAUCAUUGCGGCUGGUGUUCCUAUUCAUCUUCGUCAUGGAUGUAGCACCGUCACCGGCUCUCACCGCCGGCUGCCCGGACCUCUGCGUGUGCGACGACCAAUUGGUGGUCCAGUGCGCCGGGCAAGAGUUAACCGACUUCCCCGUGGACCUCCCACUGGCCACCCGGCAGCUCAUCAUCUCCAACAACCGGAUCGGUGACCUGCCGGCGCUCCAGCUCAACUACCUGUCGGACCUGGUGUACCUGGACUGCAGCAACAACUCGCUGACGGAGAUCUCCGAGUCCACCUUUGGCAACCUACGCAAGCUCGCUUACCUGGAUCUGUCUUUCAACACCCUGACGCAGAUCGAGGACCGGACGUUUGGCCCGCUGGCCAGUCUGGUCAUGCUCAGGAUGACGGAUAACCCGGGGCUAUCGGAGAUCCACCCUGAUGCGUUCGCGGAGAACGCGGCGCUGCAGGUGCUGGACGUGAGCCGCAACAACCUGACGGCGCUUAACAUCAGCUCGCUGAUCAGCCUGCCGGCGCUGCGCUCUCUGGGGCUCAGCGGAAACCCCUGGAGAUGCGACUGCGACACCGAGGACCUCUGUCUGUGGAUCCAGAUAGAAGGGUUCAAGUUCCAAGAUGAGGGGCAGACAGUGUGCCAGGGGCCUCCGGACAUGUUGGGUCAACGUCUAGCAGAGGUGGGAAUGCAGCUGCGAUCGGAGUGCCACCAAGGUCUGGGUUAUUGGGACUAUCUUUUCUUCAUUGCCAUUGGCUUCAUCAUCUUCAGCGCUGGGACGGUGUCAGCAUGGGUGAUGGGAGUGCUUAUGGUUCUCUACGAGCGAUACAGCAAGAGGAAGAGUGAGGAGCUAGACAGCGAGGAUGAGGAGACGGCCACCCGAGGAGGAGGAGGAGGGGGUAGCCAUGGCAAUGGGGACCUGAACAAACCAGGCAUGCAGGUGUGACCACAAGAUGGAGUAAUGCUUGGAAAACCUUGAUGAAACAUGCCUGGAACAGAAAGCGAGUGGACAGAGUCGCAAAGGAUUCUGGCAAUCUGAGCUUUCGUUUUCUAUAAAGAGGUUUUAAGUGCACUUUUUAAAAAUGUGUUAACAUUAGUUUUAGAUUAAGUGGAAGAACCAAAUGAGAACAGAGGGCAAGCAUGGGAGAUUAGAUUAAUUUAAAUUCUGAGGUGAACUCAGACCGGCUGAGUAGAUCACAGUGUGUCUAGAUCAAGUUAUCCUUGUUUCUGAAAGAUCCAGGGUUCGGUCUUGGUUAAAUGCAUAUUAGUAAUGCUCACACACAAAGCUCGCCCCAGUGUUAAUAAUGUAAUUGGGGCAGAGUGAUAGCACUGUGCUUUUACUUUUGAGAGAGAAACAGUGGUUACGUUCACACAUAGUUCAAUUAUAAACAAGAGUGACAACCGCAUUGUACAACCAAAGUGGCUCCAUUACAUUUUCAGGACUCAUACUCUCAUUUUAAGAGUUAUAAAAAUAAUAGGUGUCAUACACUUACCUACUUUGUAAAUGGUUACAAAUAAAUUCUGUCCAUCACACACCAAACGACUGAUGAUCACACACUACCCAACUCUACCCCUUCAAGAAGCAGCAUGACAGAUGUAAACAAAUGUGUAUGGGAGCACUGCUGUUAUUAUUGUUGCUGUUCUGUGUUCCGAGUCGUGAAAAACACUAGAGACCUCAAUGCCAGUUGGAAGUGAGUGGUGUUAAAAGUUAAGCUCCACAAUGAGGGGGCCUGGGUAGCUCAGUUGUAAAACAAGCUGGCUACCACCCCUGGAGUUCGCAAGUUCGAACCCCAGGGCGUGCUGAGUGACUCCAGCCAGGUCUCCUAAGGAACCAAAUUGGCCCGGCUGCUAGGGAGGGUAGAGUCACAUGGGGUAACCACCUCGUAGUCACUAUAAUGUGGUUCGUUCUCGGUGGGGCACGUGGUGAGUUGAGCGUGGAUGCCACGGUGGAUGGCGUGAAGCCUCCACACGCGCUAUGUCUCCAUGGCAACGCGCUCAACAAGCCACGUGAUAAGAUGUGUGGGUUGACGUUCUCAGAUGCGGAGGCAACUGGGAUUCAUCCUCCGCCAACCGGAUUGAGGCAAAUCACUAUGCGACCACGAGGACUUAAAAGUACAUUGGGAACUGGGCAUUCCAAAUUGAAAAAAAAAAAAAUAUCCACAUUGAGAACUUGUUUGAAAUCUCCAUUUCUUGAGCUUUGUGAUCCCGUACGCUCGAUUUCCAUUGGCUGCUGAUUAUAUGACUUAAAAUUUGAGUUGUGGACAAAAUUGCCUUAACAGUAGGCUCUAAAAUAUCAAACAUGUUUGAUAUACUCCAACUUGUUCGAAAAACAAUUUGAGGUUAAGAAAUCUUAGUCGGUACCAUCAUAUACUGUGAAAUUUUCUGUAAGAUCUGUCAAAUCCAGCUGGCCCAAAAUCUGCAAAAUGGAGCCAACUUGCAUGAACUAGCUCCGAAUCGGACGGAUGUUAAAGUCGUGUAGUGUAAUCCAGCCUUUUGCCUGUGCUGUGUGAACGGAGUCGCACUGGACAUCUAGUUGUCUGUCACAUCAUGCAGUUCAGUGGUUACCCAAAGUUUUAGAUCCAAUUUCUGUCUUCCACCAAAGCUAUUCCUAUCGGUUUUGUGGUCUGGGCACAACCCAAAUGCUGCACUCUUCAAAAUAAAAAGAUUGCGCUCAAGGUCAUUGUCGGUUAAUUAAGAUUAGACAGAUGCGCCUUGAGUGUACUCGUUUAAUAAAUUACAUUGUGUCAAUUGAGACUUUACAGAGUUAUGGAAGUUGCCAUCAUUGUUGCCAUCACCAUGGUUAUAGGCAUUAUUCAAAGCUGUUGCGAGAAUAAAAAAGGAGCUUGACUUUGGUUGUACUUUCAUACCAACAGUAUUCAUCUGCUGUUGUAUGAACAGAACAAUUCGAGAGUCACACUUGUUAGUUAAUAUUGAUUAUCAGUUCCAAACACUGAAUGUGUGAAUGUAGCCAGCGAAAGGCAGUAGACUGAACAAGAAAACAAAAAAGGAGAACGAUAGAUAGGUAGAAUUUUGAAAGAAGUGACCAGAAUUUGAAGACUAAUCCAGUAAACUGUCUAAUUUUUUAUUCACAAGCUUGGAAUAGAUAUAGAUGAUACACAGGACAGUCUCUCCAGACUCAUGCAGUGUGAAAAGAGAGAAAGUAAGAUGGGAGACACUUCUAAAUUGUCUGCAGAUAACUCCAUGGAAGGAUGAAAACACUUCUUUAAGGGUCAUAGACUCAUUGACUGGUCAUCUGAUGGACUGAUAAUAUCUGUAUGCCUGUAUGCACUGCACCGAGAAGCCUUACACACUAGAUGUAACCAGUCCAGCAAUAACACUCCUCCAGUUCCUCCUGUGGUUACCACAUGCCUCCCAAGGGCAGAGCUAAAGUCACUCCUCUUGCCUCACAUUGCACCAUCAACACUGGGUGGAAUUCACCAAGAACUGACUGUACACGCUGAUAGCAUUGUUUAUUUGCACAUGCUGUCUAUGUUGUUUUAGCACCAACUUCACAAAAUAAAUUACACAAAUCUGUUAACAGUACAAACAUGACAAAUGAAAAAAUAAAAAUUUGUGCUCAAUACAAUUUACAGUGCGCAAUUCCCCAUUUUGCUGGCCAGCAGAAUGCAAGUAUGCGGAGAGUGCAGCAGACUACUGCAAUCUGUCAUUCUUUAAUUUGACGAAAGUGUGUGCAUUGUUAUAAUGCUCUUCUCCAUCAUUUUAUCACCCCAGAUAGCACACGUACAUCUCCGAGAUGUCUGUUUUAGAUCUUUUCAUCUGGAAAGCAUCACAAUAUAAUUAACAUCUUCUAAACAUCUUAAAAAGAUAAUAUUUACAAAUAUUCUAAAUCAUAAACGUCUCAAAGACAUCUGCUGAAUGUCUUAUUGACAUCUACGUGGACACUGGAGUGAAUUCUUCCCUCACUUACCAUCCUUACAAUAAUGAAUCUCUACAUUCAGCCUCAGAAAGAGAAGUGUAGCGCAUUCACAGCUCUUCUGCCUUCUUCUGUCUUUAGCAGAAAGCCAAAGCUGUUGGGUUGUUGUGUGAUUGAGAGUUGCUAAAUCCAUCUGUAAUGGGUUAAAGAGCUUAGGGGGAUGAUAAUGGUGGACUAGGCUGCUGCUUUUAUAACAACAUAUACUUACUAAUCUAUGGCUAUUAUAGCUAAUAUUCUUUUGACUUUCUGUCCUCUUCUUCUGUCUAACUUUAGAGUUAGUUCACCCUUAAGGUGAGCUAAAAAGUGUCCACCUAUGAGGGUGAAAUUAUGAUGACAGAAUUUUUAUUUUUGGGUGAACUAUCCCUUUAUACGUAAAAGCUGCCAUCACACCUGGUCCCACAUGUUAACUGAAGGUGCGUUCACAAUGACAGUGCGUAAAAUCCUGUUGGUUGCUGGUAGCCGUUCCUACUCGACUGCAGCAUCCAACUGUAUCAGGCAGCGAUCAUCUGAGCUCCACUGUAUACACUCCUAAAGGUUGUCGCCCUAUCACGUUCAUGAAGUUGAUCUCAACUGCUCAAUUUUGUUGCAUCACCAGCAGUCUCUGUCACUCAUGUAUACUCAAAUCGCUAGCUCUCAUUAAAAAUUAAUGACUUGCAUUUACUUUGUGUGAACUCCCCUAAAAUCUGAUGAAAAGACCAGCGUAGAUAAAAAAAAAAAUGUCUGAUAUGGUUAUGGUUAUGCUUAUGGUUAAUACUGGUUUUGUGCUGGUCUAUCUGGUGAACCAGCUUAGCCAUGCUAUGUCAGUCUAUAAACGCUUUAGACAGGUACAUGUCCCAUCUCAACAUGUCCCAUUUUCAGCGCAUCAUUCUCUCCCUUUCUGUACUCUCUUUGAUGCUCUCUGUCUCACCUGCUGUGUGGCAGACAGUGAGACGUUUCAGAUUUCAGGUCAUACCGGGGUGUCACCAUGUCAACAGUGUCUGGUGUCCCAAAGUGUUAACCCCACCUGAGACAGGCAGUGUAAUAAUACAAUGUGUUAUGGAGAAAAGGAUUAUGAGAAUGUGUUUGUGUACAGUUGUGCCAGGAAAUAUCUGAAGUAACUUCCUCAAAAAAGGAAAAAACAGCUAAAAAUUAUUCGGCAGGAACUUACGGUGGAGGUGGAAUGAAUCAUGCUGAUAUUAGCUUCCUGCCAAUAUAAGGAUGAACAGUAGAGGUGGUAAAUUUGACCACCUGCUCUGAAUUCCAAAAGUGAGCAUACAUUGCCGUGUCAUCGAUCUUCAGAAAAAGAGAGAAAUCGGGGAGGAGAUGUUUUAGUAUUUUAUACCUCUGUGAAUAUGAAUGUGUAAUAUAACAGGAGAUAAAGAGGAUGAGCCCUAGUGCCAUCCAUUAGUCCAGUUCAGCUCAAGAACAGAACUUUAUCUGAGGGCAUUUUCACACCUGGCU